GAUCAUGGCUCAGGAUGAACGCUAGCGGCAGGCCUAAUACAUGCAAGUCGAACGGUAAAUGUCCCUUCGGGGAUAUGAGAGUGGCGCACGGGUGCGUAACGCGUAUGCAACCUACCCAAUGCUGGAGGAUAGCCCGGAGAAAUUCGGAUUAACCCUUCAUGAGGAGCCUUGGAGGCAUCUUCGAGGUUUCAAAUAUUCAUAGGCGUUGGAUGGGCAUGCGUGCUAUUAGAUAGUUGGCGGGGUAACGGCCCACCAAGUCUACGAUAGCUAGGGGAUCUGAGAGGACGGUCCCCCACACUGGUACUGAGACACGGACCAGACUCCUACGGGAGGCAGCAGUAAGGAAUAUUGGGCAAUGGAGGCAACUCUGACCCAGCCAUGCCGCGUGAAGGAUGGAGGCCCUGCGGGUCGUAAACUUCUUUUGUCAGGGAAUAAAGUCGCCCACGUGUGGGCGUUUGCAGGUACCUGAAGAAUAAGCAUCGGCUAACUCCGUG
This 494-nucleotide ribosomal RNA is filed under the name uncultured bacterium. RNAcentral describes it as "bacterial SSU rRNA". It matches the Rfam family "Bacterial small subunit ribosomal RNA", at positions 15 to 507 of the family's 1533-position model. The record is from RNAcentral.